GAGCAGACGUGUAUUGAGAAGCUCCGCAUUUCAUACUCAAACAAGGCGAAAAAUCCUAAAUUAACUGCAGUAAACGUAUUUAUACACCCUAGAGAGCGUUAUUUACCGAAAAUAAAUGGAACAAAGUAUGUCUAAUGUUCCAGGUCCUUCGGGACAAAGAAGACAGCCGUCUACACUGGGAAUAGGUCCAUCUCCUGGUUCUGUGCAAGAAAAGUAUGACCUGAAGGAACUUGUGGGAAAGGGCCAUCACGGCGAGAUCUAUCGUGCUAUUAGAAAAGCCGACGGACAACAGUUUGCCAUCAAGUCGACUACUACAGAACUUGACAACAAAGUGCCUAGGUAUCCGGGACUCCUACCAAAUGAAGUGGCCAUGAUGACUCUUGCGAGACGUCCACCCAGCAUGCAGCUCCCCAGACUCUAUGAAUGGUUUUGGGAUGAAGAGGAAACAUCAGAUGGGGUAAGUCUAUUUAUUCAGCACAUUUUAUGCACGAUGCGCUGCAGGAUGGUUUGUCUUGAUUCUUAUUGUCGUUUUAAUUUUGUGACUUAAUUCUUAAAUCAAGAAGCAUUUCUGGACAAGUAAAUACCUUUGUCUUGUUUUCAGAAAAGCUCGUGGGUUAAUAAUA
This is a non-coding RNA of Danio rerio (zebrafish), 623 nucleotides long. NCBI's taxonomy places the organism in Eukaryota, Metazoa, Chordata, Actinopteri, Cypriniformes, Danionidae. The record is from Ensembl.